RNAcentral lists this long non-coding RNA (741 nucleotides) under Pan troglodytes (chimpanzee). Its description in RNAcentral is "long non-coding RNA NONPTRT013397". Lineage: Eukaryota; Metazoa; Chordata; Mammalia; Primates; Hominidae. The record is from RNAcentral.
GAAGGGUCAUGUGUUGGAAACUUAAUCCCCAACACAACAGUGUUGGGAGGUGGGGCCUAAGAGAGGUGUUGGGUCAUACAGAUAGAACCCUCAUGAGUGGAAUAAUGUUAUUAUCACAGAAGAGGGUGGGUUAUCCAGAGAGUAGGUUGUUAUAAGUGAGUCCAGACCCUGUUUUCUCUAUCUGAUAUUCUGGCUUCUGCCCUCGGCCCUUCCAGCAUGAGAUAACCCUAGCCAGGUUUUGGUGCUAUGCUCUUGGACUUCCCAGACUCCAUAUGAGAGAAAUGGUCUCCAUAGGUGAGAUAUAAAUUUAUUUUCCUUGUAAAUUAUCCAUUUUGUGGUGUUCUGUUACAGCAGCAGAAAACAAACCAAGAGAGAACACCAGUCUGAUUGCUUCCUACAUGGAAGGUGUGAUAUUUUUAAAAUGUAUUUUGAAAGCAAAUAGAAUCUUAGGACCCCAAACUCACUAUGCCAAAGGGAAAGUUAAGGUUGGGGGCUGAGUCACACAAUACUGCCUUUCUUUUCUUCCCAAGGAGACGUAAUUUCACUACUCUAUGUCUCACCCAUAGGCCAGGUUUCUACAAUCAUAGGGCCACAUGUUUCCCCAGAUGACCUCCCUCAAAAAUUGCUUACAAGGAAGUUCCUUGUGAGCAGUUAAGUCUUUCAGAAUACAUAGCUUUCCUAUAAACUAGCCUUAAAACUGAGUUCUGUUGAAUCUCACCUUGAAAGUGUCAAUUACCAGCU